UCACUCGAGAUACAUACAAUCAGGGAUCGAUGUGAUUAUCAAUUUCGCGGGAAACAAGUAUCAUAUGGAAACAAGAGUCUAGUACAUCUGAUAAGGCCAGAAUCAUUUAUCUCAGACAUCUAUAUGAUUUGUUGUCACCUCAUCAACGCCAGACGAAAACUUUUGGGCAUCGAUACGUAAUCAAUAAAGUUCUCCUAUCCGUCUAGUUCCUCCAACCAGGAAACGAACCUAUAAUGCUGAAGAGGCGGUUAAACUCCGUCGUAACUCUACUAGAUCGUUAAGCGCGCAAAGGAGGACCGCCUUGUCGCUUAAGGAGCUACGAAACGAGAAACCCUCUUACAACGCAUUAACGUCUCAGCAUAAUUGUUUGAGCCUAGGUUUAGAUAAAACAGCGUAUAACCGACUUUCCACGGAGGUAGGUGCCGCUGUCUGGUCGGUCAGAUCAUUUCCUAUCAUCGUUACAACUUGAUCCAACUGCAUGCACUAUCUGUCGGUGAAUAAACAGAGCUGUGUUUUGUAUAAAACGAAUACGCACAAGGGAUACAUCUCUUUGAGUUUUUCUGCUUUAAACGACAUAGUAGAGCGCCACACAUUACACCUCCUAACGCGCCUUUGUCGUACUCGUCGACAAAGCAAGCUGCUGCGAGGCAGCCGCGCGAGUCGCAACGCGACGCGAGCGCAAAACGACACGGCGCGGUUGGCAUUUCCGAAAACGCGCAGUCGCGUGCCGAUCCUGUUGGGUGGGAGGUGCGAUCAGCUGCGAGGUACACGAGGAGAGAACGAGAUGUUCGUCCUGCAGAGGUCUAUAAUAUCGGCCAGUGGCAGAAAUUGUGGAGGAUCAUGGACGCGGACGCUUCUACCUUUGUAUGCUACCACAAAGGAUGUCCAACAGAGGAAUAUUCACGAAGUCUCGGGAGAUGUAAUACCAAUAAAUAUGGUAAAGGGAAUCGGACAUCUCAGAGAUCCUCGACUUAACAAGGGCUUGGCAUUCACCUUGAAAGAAAGGAUAGCUUUAGGGAUACAUGGCUUGCAGCCUCCCAGAUUCAAGACUCAAGAAGAACAGCUGGCUCUGUGCAAAGCUUCAGUAAUGAAAUAUUCGGAGGAUUUGAACCGAUAUCUGUAUCUCGUGGAACUUCAAGAAAGGAACGAAAGAUUAUUUUUCCGCUUGUUAAGCGAGAAUAUCGAACAGAUGAUGCCAAUUGUCUAUACACCUACUGUCGGUUUGGCCUGCCAAAAGUUCGGCGUAAUUUAUCGCAGACCUCGCGGACUCUUCAUCACUAUAUACGAUAAGGGUCAUAUUUAUGAAAUUCUGAAUAAUUGGCCAGAACAAGCGGUGCGAGCGAUAUGUGUAACAGAUGGCGAGCGAAUUUUAGGUCUCGGUGACCUUGGAGCUUGCGGCAUGGGUAUUCCUGUUGGAAAACUAGCGCUUUACACAGCUCUAGCUGGCAUUAAACCUCACCAAUGUCUACCUAUCACUAUCGAUGUAGGCACCAAUAAUGAACAACUGAGAAACGAUCCUCAUUACAUUGGUCUCAACAAACCUAGAAGUCAAGGUGCCGAGUAUGACGAAUUAAUCGACGAAUUUAUGGCUGCCUGCGUGCAAAAGUACGGACAAAACGUUCUUAUUCAAUUUGAAGACUUUGGAAACCACAAUGCCUUCCGAUUCUUAGACAAAUAUAGAAAUAAGUAUUGUACGUUCAACGAUGACAUACAAGGUACGGCUGCGGUUGCGGUGGCUGGAAUCUUGGCAUCAAAAAGAAUAACUAAGAAAAGGAUGUCGGAUAAUAAGUUUGUCUUCCUGGGCGCUGGAGAGGCAGCAAUUGGUAUAGCUGAUCUCUGCGUCAAAGCAAUGGAGGCUGACGGAUGCACCGAGCAGCAAGCGCGUGAUAACAUCUGGAUGAUGGACAUUGACGGAUUACUUGUGAACAAUCGGCCCGAAGGUAAUCUGGAGGGCCACAAGAUCUGGUAUGCGAAAGAUCACAAAGUGAUGAAGACGUUGAUCGAAGUUGUGAAGGAAAUUAAACCUACUGUAUUGAUAGGUGCUUCGGCAGCGGCAGGAGCAUUCACUCCUGAGGUGCUAAAAGAAAUGGCAAAAAAUAAUGAGCGGCCGUUGAUCUUCGCUCUGAGUAAUCCAACCAGUAAAGCUGAAUGUACGGCGCAGCAGGCGUACGAUCAUACCGACGGUAGAUGUAUAUUUUCCUCUGGUUCGCCAUUCGGCGAAGUCAAAUAUGACGGAAAGACGUACAAGCCUGGACAAGGUAAUAACGCAUACAUCUUCCCCGGUAUCGCUUUGGGCGUUAUCGCGACCGGAGUUCAUCACAUUACCGAAGAUUUGUUCUUGAUCUCGGCACAAACUGUCGCCGAUCAUGUGAAAGAUGAGGAUCUCAAAAGGGGCAGUUUAUAUCCACCAUUAAAUAGUAUUCGCGAGUGCUCUAUUGAUAUCGCGGUUAAAAUAGCCGACUACGCUUACGCUAAAGGUGGUUUGGCGAGCGAGUACCCAGAGCCAAAAGACAAGAAACAAUUUAUUAUGAGUAAGAUGUACGAUGCCAACUACGACAGUCCACUGCCAAAUCUGUAUGAGUGGCCGGGUGAUUAUGCCAAACCUCGCAUUUUACCGGAAAAAGACAAAAUAGAAAUCCGCCACGAUUUAAAACAUCUGUAGCGGAUUUCAACAGCUGGGAAUCGGAGGCUAUCAUUAUUAUCUUUAACGAUAAAAAUGUCGAUGUUUCUUCAACUCGUAAUCAAUAUCACUCACGGCAUAUACAAACAGCAAAACAACUUGUAAACAGUUUUAAUCAUUAGAACGCGUUGGCGAGUCUAAACACGAGACGACUAUUUUGACAUAUACAUAAAGUUCUUAAUUUAAUUUUCGCAGUCAGAGAAUAAAUGUUAAUAUUAUUGCUUGUGAGUGAUCAAAUAUUGUAUACUCUUUAAUAUUAAGAAAUCGCAGUUUAUCAAUAGCAAUCAAUCGAUGUUUCUUAUGUUUAAGUAUGCUCAUGUACUUAUAUUUAUUUAAUGUGAUGAUACACAGAGCAAUGUUCCACACACUGUAAAAUCGUACUUGAAUAGUAAGGAAUGUGCAAAUAUUCACUAACUUUGACAUGAAUUGUCAGAUAUUCCAAUACUACAGAUUAUUUAUUUUUUUAAGAAGUUCACUUAUAAAAUAAUUACAAGGCUAUCUCUAAUUGUGUAACAUGAUACGUGUAUCGUGCACAGUAUAUCAUACAAGUAAAUAUUUAUUUAUUUUGCAUUUUAGAACCAUAGAUGAUAAAUAGUUGUUCUUCGUUUUAAUUACUUGACAUGCAGUCUAUUAUAAGAAAUGAGUUACCGGUUUCUUGAAUCAGGAUGUCUACUACUUAAACAAAUUUGGAACAUUCAGAAGUUUGAAAAAUUAAGAAAUUUAAUCAAAAGUACCUGGAAUAUCCAGGAAUUUUGUAUGAAAAUUUAUGUAGAUAGCAAGUAGAUAAAAGUUCAUGAAAAAGAUCACAUGAUGAAAUAAUUUCAAUUCUAAGUAUUACACUAUGAUGCGACAGUAUAUUCAAUAAAUUGAAAAAAAAAAAAUUCUUAUAAUCUUAUUAUCAAAAUAUAACACCAAUAUCUUUUAUAUUCCGUCAUAAUGCGCGUUCUUGUAUUUUAUAACAAGAAGCGCUACAGAUCCAUCAAAUAAACUUUCUGUCAAAAAGUACCUUACAAAUACUAGCUGUUAUAUAAAAUAGAACUAUUUAACAAUAACAUCGACUAAAUUUUAACAAUUACUGCCACACAAAAUAGAGAACUUUUUAAAUCUAUACCAUUUUCGUACAGAAAACUGUACCAUGCUGUCAUGAAUAAAUAUCUUGACAGUAUUGCAGAAAAGGUUUAUCAAAUCGUAGAUGAAUUACACACUGAUAAAUGUUUAUGAAUUGCUACCAAGUAUAUAAAUUAUAAUGUUACAAUAUUAUGAAUAAAUGUUAAAUUCUGGUCGUUA
RNA transcript from Linepithema humile (Argentine ant), 3967 nucleotides. It is a transcript of the gene named Malic enzyme b, with no coding region annotated. NCBI's taxonomy places the organism in Eukaryota, Metazoa, Arthropoda, Insecta, Hymenoptera, Formicidae. The record is from RefSeq and is a predicted model, not a curated record.